This 414-nucleotide ribosomal RNA is filed under the name uncultured bacterium. Its description in RNAcentral is "bacterial SSU rRNA". It matches the Rfam family "Bacterial small subunit ribosomal RNA", at positions 355 to 775 of the family's 1533-position model. The record is from RNAcentral.
UCGAGGAUCUUCGGCAAUGGGCGCGAGCCUGACCGAGCGACGCCGCGUGUGCGAUGAAGGCCUUCGGGUUGUAAAGCACUGUCGGAGGGGAGAAAAGCCCGCAAGGGCUUGAUCGACCCUCGGAGGAAGCACGGGCUAAGUUCGUGCCAGCAGCCGCGGUAAGACGAACCGUGCAAACGUUGUUCGGAAUCACUGGGCUUAAAGGGCGCGUAGGCGGAUGCAUCAGUCAGGGGUGAAAUCCCACGGCUCAACCGUGGAAGUGCCUUUGAGACGGUGUGUCUAGAGGGAGGUAGGGGCGUGCGGAACUUCCGGUGGAGCGGUGAAAUGCGUAGAUAUCGGAAGGAACACCGGUGGCGAAAGCGGCGCGCUGGACCUCUUCUGACGCUGAGGCGCGAAAGCCAGGGGAGCAAACGG